This 72-nucleotide transfer RNA is filed under the name Ignavibacteria bacterium. Its description in RNAcentral is "tRNA-Arg". It matches the Rfam family "tRNA". Rfam says of the family: Transfer RNA (tRNA) molecules are approximately 80 nucleotides in length. The record is from RNAcentral. Lineage: Bacteria; Pseudomonadati; Ignavibacteriota; Ignavibacteria.
GCCCUCAUAGCUCAAUGGAUAGAGCAACUCCCUUCUAAGGAGAAGAUGACAGUUCGAUUCCGUCUGAGGGCA